Molecule: ribosomal RNA, 592 nt
Filed under: archaeon
Lineage: Archaea
Description: partial 23S ribosomal RNA
Rfam family: Archaeal large subunit ribosomal RNA
Source: RNAcentral
GGGCAGUUUGGCUGGGGCGGCACCCCGCAGAAAAGAUAUCUGUGGGGCCCAAAGAUAAACUCAUCCAGUUCGGAAAUCUGGAGUAGAGUGUAAAGGCAAAAGUUUAUCUGACUGUUUUUCGAAAAGCAAGAAAAGCAGGAGCGAAAGCUGGGCUUAACGAACCCACGUGGCUUUUUAAUGGAGCCCGUGGCUGUCAGAAAAGGUACCUCAAGGAUAACAGGCUUGUCGCCCCCGAUAGUUCACAUUGACGGGGCGGUUUGGUACAUCGCUGUCGGCUCUUCCUAUCCUGGAUGUGCACAAGCAUCCAAGGGUGUCGGAGUUCACGCAUUAAAAGGGAUCGUUAGCUGGGUUAAGAACGUCGUGAGACAGUUUGUAUGAUAUCUACUAGAUGUGUGGUUGUUUGAGUGGAAGGACCCUCCAGUACGAGAGGAACGUGGGUUCGGAGCCUCUGGUCUACCAGUUGUUAUGAGCAGGCUGGGCAGCUACGCUCCACACCGAUAAGUGCUGAAAGCAUCUAAGCACGAAGCGGUCCGCAAAACGAGACAACAAAUGCCGCGGUAAAAGACCGCGUUGAUAGAGACGGAAUGUAAGC